GUGGGUAUAGGUCAGUGAUAGAGCAGGUACUUAGCAUGCACAAGGUCCUGGGUUCAAUCCCCAGUACCUCCA
This 72-nucleotide transfer RNA is filed under the name Camelus bactrianus (Bactrian camel). It matches the Rfam family "tRNA". Rfam says of the family: Transfer RNA (tRNA) molecules are approximately 80 nucleotides in length. Their secondary structure includes four short double-helical elements and three loops (D, anti-codon, and T loops). The record is from Rfam by way of RNAcentral. RNAcentral also lists the same sequence under 2 other names. Lineage: Eukaryota; Metazoa; Chordata; Mammalia; Artiodactyla; Camelidae.